CAGGCGGCUGUCCUGUCUUUUGUUCUGGCAGAGAUAAGAUGUAUAAAUUAUGAGUGGUUGACAAAGUGUACUCCAGCGCCUAAGGCAGCUCAUCAAUCAUUUUCCACAUGUCGACAGAUAAUUGAUGCAAACCCUGAAGGCGCAUCUCCAUCAGAAGUCUGUGUGCAGUGAGGAUCCAGAAAUAAAUGAUGGGAAUAAAACACACAUACAUAAAACCACCUUUCACGAAUACUGCAAGGUCUCUAAGCUUGGAAAAGGAAAAUGGGUAAGUCAAGGGUUCUUAACCUUUUUGGUGUCAUGGAUCCCGUUGGCAGUCUAGUGAAGCCUUUAGAAUCUUUCUGGAAUAAUGUUUUUAGAGGCAUAAAAAUUGGACUCAAAGGUAACCACUUACACUGAAAUACAGUUAUCAAAAUACUUUUUCAAAAGGAAGCUCUUGGAUCCCAGUUUAAAAACCCCUGGGGUAACUAGAUUUGAGACUUAAUAAGGCUUAUAACCCUAAACUCUGUUGACUAGUCAGGGCUGAUCUGCAAAUCUCCUGGCCCCAGGCUCUGGUGAGAGGGGACAAGAAAUGCAUAUGACCUACCCCCCUAUUAAUGUCAAAAAAAAUUCAGUCUACUCUUUAAAUGAUUUUCAUUUUCUCAAUUGCCCUGCAGAAAAGGAUACACAGGGCAAAUUCGAGAGUCCCAACUGAAUGUUCCUUUGCACAUUCUGAAGUUAAAAUAAUAGCUUAUAUUUUCUUUUAUGUGAAGAAAUAUCCAAGCCCUGAAGUGUUCUAAGACAUUAUGUCCAACAGCAUGCAUUGUACAGAGUGUCU
Molecule: long non-coding RNA, 814 nt
Filed under: Monodelphis domestica (gray short-tailed opossum)
Lineage: Eukaryota; Metazoa; Chordata; Mammalia; Didelphimorphia; Didelphidae
Description: lncRNA (ENSMODG00000039675.1)
Source: RNAcentral